UUUCGGAUGUUCUGUCAUUAAAAGUAUUUUAGGGCUCUUACACUUGUUCAGGGAAGAUAUGGGUUACAAAACUUUAAAGGCCUCCAAGGAGAGUCAGUCCCCAUCAUGUAUCUCGAAUGUGCUAAUAGACAAAAAACCUGCUAAAGAGUAGGUUCAGAACUAUGAAGAAUGUUGAACAAGUAACUCCUCCCAGGUAGCCAAGUUGAAAUCAAGGAUAUGUUCUUAAUGCUGGAAUAGGGGGAACUAAAAAUUCCUGCCAGAAGUUUUUUGUAACUACUAUAGACCAGUGCCUUCUGUGUGUCUCUGCUAUACCUUAUACCAGAUGUCGUUUUUAUUACAAGUUUAUCCUUGUUUCAUCAUAGUAUGUUGGGCCAGGUGGCAGUAAAGACAUUUCUGUAACUGUGUUGUUUGUGCAAGUAUCACUGAAGAUCAAGGAGCCAUAUCCAGAGCUGAUGGAAAGAACCAUGCCAUCAUUCAGAGAUCUUGCACUUGAAGCUGUUUGCAGUAACUGGAUAGAACUUUGGGUUGUCUCCCUUGAAAAAAGAAAAAGAAAGAAAGAAAUGUGUUCCAGUUGUGGUAGAGGAUACUUGGUAACCAGAAAGAUGUACUGUGUCAAACCUAAGUGCUCACUUCGUCUACUUCUUUUCCUUAGGUACCUGGCUAACUUCCAUUUGCCAGCCUCCUUGAAGUGAGGCAAAUGUUAGCCAAUGGAAUGUGGGUAAAAAUUAUUACAUGAUGUUCACCUCCCCACAAAAUGUUCCAGGCAGUCUUCCACAUUUCUUCCCUUGUUUUCCAGCAAGGUGCUGACAUCUUGGGCACCCUUGCAGGAUCGCUUUUGAAGAUGAAGUUUCCAUCAGCCAGGGUCUUUGCAUGACUGCAUGGAAGAGAUAACCUGAACUUCAUCCAGCCACCUAUUGAACUUCACAUGAGCAAGAAGUGAGGAUGAAUGUAUGCCUCAAUGAAUGAAUACCACAUCACUCGAGUUGCUAAGAUAUUCACUUCAAUGAGGAAAUGAGUGCCUUCUACCGGCCUGGAGGAGGAGAAUUCCAAUAAGGACCACCUGAAAAAGGAAAAAACAACUCACAAGUACCCAGGAGGCCCGUCCACUUACUGGUGACAGGAGGCCCGCCCACUUACUGGUGACAGGAGGCCCAUCCACUUACUGGUGACAGCUGUGCCACUCCCAGGAGUAUCUUGGUCGGCUUGGUAAGAAAUCUGACGUCCCUUGGUUUUUCACUCUUUGGGGGAAUCGCAGCAACACCCUGUGGUCAUAAUCUCUGACAUCUGCCCGGUAUGCUGAGCUGUGAUUUUGAAAAAGGAAGCACUUUAAUUUCCACAGGAUAUUAACUCAAGACAAAGUACAAGCAAAACCUUUCCAGUUUAUAAUGGCGACUGCCUCCCACCCCCCACUAGACUAUCAGUUGCAAAAGCCCAGCGCAUUUUGCUUAUUUUGUUUACUGCUGAAUCCCCGGGUCCCAGAAUGGUGCCUGGCAAGUGGCCCGAUCUCAGUUGUGAAUGUUUGUGGAAUGAGUAAAUGCAUGACAACUAGGGACAUCUGCAGUUAAAAAGUGAAAAAAAAAGUAACAAAAUCAGCAUUAAAUGUGUAUGCGCGAUCAGUAAAUUCUGUAUUUGUAAUCAGUUCUUGUUGAACCACAUGAAUCAGUAGAAAUGAUUGCAAAUUAAAAAAAAAAGAAAGAAAAAAAAAGAAAAAAGUAUGCCCUUAUUAAGAACUUUGAAUUUUGGGGUACCUGGGUGGCUAAGUAGGUUAAGCGUCCCGACUUUUGGUUUCUGCUCAGCUCGUGAUCUCAUGGUUCUUAAGUUCAAGCCCCACAUUGGUCUCUAUGCUGACCCCACCGAGCCUGCUUGGGAUUUUCUCUCUCCCUCUCUCUCUACCCCUCCCCUGCUUGUUCUCUUUCUCAAAAUAAAUAAA
Molecule: long non-coding RNA, 1930 nt
Organism: Panthera uncia (snow leopard)
Lineage: Eukaryota; Metazoa; Chordata; Mammalia; Carnivora; Felidae
Exons: 3
Source: RefSeq, a predicted model, not a curated record